RNAcentral lists this ribosomal RNA (253 nucleotides) under uncultured bacterium. Its description in RNAcentral is "partial 16S ribosomal RNA". It matches the Rfam family "Bacterial small subunit ribosomal RNA", at positions 524 to 776 of the family's 1533-position model. The record is from RNAcentral.
UACAGAGGUCCCAAGCGUUGUUCGGAUUCACUGGGCGUAAAGGGUGCGUAGGUGGUCGGGUAAGUCUGAUGUGAAAUCUCUGAGCUCAACUCAGAAACUGCAUUGGAUACUAUCCGGCUAGAGAAUCGGAGGGGGGACUGGAAUACUUGGUGUAGCAGUGAAAUGCGUAGAUAUCAAGUGGAACACCAGUGGCGAAGGCGAGUCCCUGGACGAUUUCUGACACUGAGGCACGAAAGCUAGGGGAGCAAACAGG